Non-coding RNA from Peromyscus maniculatus bairdii (prairie deer mouse), 828 nucleotides. NCBI's taxonomy places the organism in Eukaryota, Metazoa, Chordata, Mammalia, Rodentia, Cricetidae. The record is from RefSeq and is a predicted model, not a curated record.
UCCUGGGGACUCGGACAGAUGAAGAAAAGGAAUGGGGGAAGGAGACAGAGGCCAAGAAGAUCUUCAGCAUCUCCGUCCACCUGAGCUGGAGCAGAAGUGCAUACAGCUGGUGUGGGAGGGAGUGGCCAACACCGCAGAGGAUGUUCCCUAAUGACCCUCGCUGCCUGCUGUGAGGGAACAGGCCCAAGCUUGCUGAAGGGCUGGUGUGAGCUGCUCUGAGAUGCUAACGGCCAUGUCACCUCAGAGGACAGCAGUCCACAACACUUCUGAUCCUCCUGCCCCAGCCUGCUGAGCGGCUCAGAUUACAGGCCCCGGGAGGCAGCGUCUGGUUAAGUAACAAGGCAAAACCACUCGCUGGUUUUAGAUUGGAAUCUUCAGCACGGACCAUGAUCUCCACAGUCAUGGCCUUCCCUCAGGCAAACCUGCACACCCAGGAAUACCCCGUGGGCCAGCCCACCAUCCAUCAGCCUCUAGAGAGGGGGCCUUUCCCAGUCAGCAGUUUGAGAAACAGAAUAGACGGAUUUCUGAAGCAACUGAGAUACCCAGCACCGUCCGGAUUCUGGAAAGAGUGGAGUUCAGCUGGGCCUGGUGGAGCAUGCUUGUCACCCCAGCUCCUGGAGAAGUCGAGGCAGGAGGAUGGAAAGUUCAAGGUCUGCCUGGACUAGAGUCACUGCCUGAUCAAAAGUUUCUCAAAGGAAAAGAGAGAUACCUGGUUAGAAGCCAGCCACCCCGCAGGGCGGGGAAGGGGUGGAAGUGGGGGGCAACCCAGAGCCGCUAAGAGAGACUGGACCACGACCGAAGGUGGAUUGCCCGACCCUGACUCUACCU